This 77-nucleotide transfer RNA is filed under the name Comamonas aquatica. Its description in RNAcentral is "tRNA-Tyr(gta)". Lineage: Bacteria; Pseudomonadati; Pseudomonadota; Betaproteobacteria; Burkholderiales; Comamonadaceae. The record is from RNAcentral.
UCUUGCGCUUGGGUCGGGCCGGACCGGGGACGUUGUAGCCGUCUUCCUCGUCGUCGAUCACGUCGAUGCGCUUGAGC